AUGGAGCGUGUUGAGGGGCUGAUGAGCAGCUUGAAGUUGUCUGAUUUGGAGAGCAAGGGUCGGAAGAUUGCAUGGAGUGGACGGGGGAAGAGGGGAGUAGUGGAACCACAGGCGCUUGCAAAGCUGAUGUCGGACAAACCGGCCUUUGCAGAUGGUAUGGUGAAUUCUUUGGGGAAGAUUUGGUGCCUGCUGAGGGGCGUGGAUUGCAAAAAUUUGGGAGACAAUAUUUUCAUGUUCACUUUUCAUCAGAAAUCAGGCCAAAGGAAAGCUCUGGAUGAUGGUCCAUGGAUGUUUGGGAACUCAUUACUAGUGCUGGAGGAGUAUGAUCCUAGUAAGAGCAUAAAGGAAUAUGAAUUUAAGAGGUUUCCGGUCUGGGUCCGGGUCUUUGAUCUGCCUUUGGGG
RNAcentral lists this ribosomal RNA (402 nucleotides) under Triticum aestivum (bread wheat). Its description in RNAcentral is "partial small subunit ribosomal RNA". Lineage: Eukaryota; Viridiplantae; Streptophyta; Magnoliopsida; Poales; Poaceae. The record is from RNAcentral.